RNAcentral lists this ribosomal RNA (490 nucleotides) under Veillonella dispar. RNAcentral describes it as "bacterial SSU rRNA". It matches the Rfam family "Bacterial small subunit ribosomal RNA", at positions 38 to 491 of the family's 1533-position model. The record is from RNAcentral. Lineage: Bacteria; Bacillati; Bacillota; Negativicutes; Veillonellales; Veillonellaceae.
ACGCGGCGGCGUGCUUAACACAUGCAAGUCGAACGAAGAGCGAUGGAAGCUUGCUUCCAUCAAUCUUAGUGGCGAACGGGUGAGUAACGCGUAAUCAACCUGCCCUUCAGAGGGGGACAACAGUUGGAAACGACUGCUAAUACCGCAUACGAUCUAACCUUGGCAUCGAGGAUGGAUGAAAGGUGGCCUCUAUUUAUAAGCUAUCACUGAAGGAGGGGAUUGCGUCUGAUUAGCUAGUUGGAGGGGUAACGGCCCACCAAGGCGAUGAUCAGUAGCCGGUCUGAGAGGAUGAACGGCCACAUUGGGACUGAGACACGGCCCAGACUCCUACGGGAGGCAGCAGUGGGGAAUCUUCCGCAAUGGACGAAAGUCUGACGGAGCAACGCCGCGUGAGUGAUGACGGCCUUCGGGUUGUAAAGCUCUGUUAAUCGGGACGAAAGGGCCUUCUGCGAAUAGUAGAAAGGAAUUGACGGUACCCGGAAUAAAAAGC